GACUCGUUAGCUCAGUCGGUAGAGCAACUGACUUUUAAUCAGUGGGUCGCAGGUUCGAAUCCUGCACGGGUCA
Transfer RNA from Aerococcus urinaehominis, 73 nucleotides. It matches the Rfam family "tRNA". From Rfam's summary of the family: Transfer RNA (tRNA) molecules are approximately 80 nucleotides in length. Their secondary structure includes four short double-helical elements and three loops (D, anti-codon, and T loops). NCBI's taxonomy places the organism in Bacteria, Bacillati, Bacillota, Bacilli, Lactobacillales, Aerococcaceae. The record is from Rfam.